RNAcentral lists this ribosomal RNA (367 nucleotides) under uncultured bacterium. RNAcentral describes it as "bacterial SSU rRNA". It matches the Rfam family "Bacterial small subunit ribosomal RNA", at positions 527 to 896 of the family's 1533-position model. The record is from RNAcentral.
GAAGGUGGCAAGCGUUGUUCGGAUUUACUGGGCGUACAGGGAGCGCAGGCGGUUGGGUAAGCCCUCCGUGAAAUCUCCAGGCUUAACCUGGAAAGUGCAGAGGGGACUGCUCAGCUAGAGGAUGGGAGAGGAGCGCGGAAUUCCCGGUGUAGCGGUGAAAUGCGUAGAGAUCGGGAGGAAGGCCGGUGGCGAAGGCGGCGCUCUGGAACAUUUCUGACGCUGAGGCUCGAAAGCGUGGGGAGCAAACAGGAUUAGAUACCCUGGUAGUCCACGCCUUAAACGAUGGAUACUAAGUGUCGGCGGGUUACCGCCGGUGCCGCAGCUAACGCAGUAAGUAUCCCGCCUGGGAAGUACGGCCGCAAGGUUG